GUACGGACGUAUUCAAAGGCGUGCACCGUCCGGCGACUGCCGAGCUCCACAAGCGGUUCACGCCUCCUCCAUCGCUCCAGCAUCUGUAACAGAUAUCAUACACCACAUUUUUGUUUUGCACAGCGUGCCACUACAUCACGCUCUCACGCCCCGACUCGAUGCAAGCGUUAUGCGGCCACAGGAGCGACUGACGGUGCUGUGCACGCUGUUGCUGCUGUACGUGCUGUUCUCCGCCCCGGUGGAGUUGCUGACCCUCUUUUGGCACCGCACCACCUCCGCAGCAGUCGGCAUCUCGUCGCCGUCCCCUCUGAAGCGCCUUUCUACGGGCUCGGCGCCGGGCCUCUCCACCAACUACGCCUCCUUGUAUCUCGGGGCCGCGGUGGUGUCGAUGGAGCCGUCUUCAUGCCACGGCGGUGUGGCGCUGAUUAGCGAGAGCGUGGACAAGUACGUGCUGUGCCCCUGUGAUGCACCUCGGAAGCAAUUCGUGGUGCAGCUGAUCCGCGAUGUGCAGGUGCGCUCUGUGAUGGUGCGCAACGCUGAACACUUUAGCAGCGGUGUGCGCAACUUCACGUUGCUUGGCAGUCUACAGUACCCGACGUCCACCUGGUUAGUGCUGGGGCACUUUGAGGCGGAGCAGCGGCGCGGCCGCCAGUACUUUGACGUCGCCCCGCGCAGCCGAGUGCGCUUCAUCAAGCUGCAGUGGGCGACAUCGUAUGGACCGGAGCCGUGGUGCACGAUCACUUCUUUCCAGGUGUACGGCAUUGACGUUCUGGAGACUCUGACGCGGUACGACGGGGGCGACGACCUUGUAGCGGGCGAAGAUGCCGCUGGGGCCAGCGGCGGCCUCCGCGGCACGCCAGACAUGCAUCGUUUUCAUCUACCAGCGCUUCCCCCAACACCGGGGGAGGUGGCGGCACCGCCCUUGGCUGGCAGCAGCGCAGUUCCAUCGAGGAACGGCGCCACGUCUGCGAAUGACGCCCCGGCGCCCGCCGUUUUCAUUGACGAGCUUGCGGCUGGUAUGUGGGCCGGUGCCGCUGCGACUGUCGGAGCUUCGAGGGGGGCCGACGCCGAUGACCUCCUUCUCGCGCCUGUGGACGUCGGCGCGUCAGCCGAGACAGGGCCGCUGUCCCAGGCUGAUGCGGAUGCAAAGCGGUCUUCCCCAACCAACUCCAUAGCGCUCGCCGCGACGGCGCCUGCUCUCCAGUCGGUGAACUGCAGCGCUGCACAGCCCAUUGGCCGAAACGCGUCCGUGAAGUGCACCAUCACAGACCUGACUGCUCUGUGGGGUCCGUGUGCGGUGGCCACGUCUGGUGCGUCCGACUUCACCGCUGUGACCACCCCCACUAGCGCCCCUGCGCUGUCCGUGAGCACUCCGAGCAGCAAAGGCCUCUCCGCAUCCGGGUCUAUCUAUCAAAGCGCCGCGGGAUCUCUUCUCACGAACCUUCUUCGGCAGCAGCGCAGCACGCAUCAUGAGCUGACGUUGCUGAUGCAGCGAGAGCGCCACCUGGCCCAAGAGCUCAACCGUACCCGCAUCCUCCUCAGCGACUUCUACGCAAGGUACAAGGCAACGGAGAGGGAGGCCGGCGAGUACCGCGACCGGCUGCACGGGUUGCAGUCGAAGCUGCAACUGCUCCAAGAGCGCUUUCUUCGCGAGCACAGCAGCUGCUGCGGCGAGGGAGGCGGCGCAGGCAGAAGUGGCGGCAGCAUAAUGCGGAGCGACACAGCCAUGGCGGUGGCAUCUUUCGCGCUAUUAGCGUUGGCCGUGAUACUGAUGCUCAUGUAUUCAUCUUCGUCAUCGCGUUCUGUCGUUGGCCCCCCGAGUGGUUGGGGACGUUACUACAACAUUGGUCGUGGCAGCGGCGGGGUGGCCUCGGGUGGCGGCAACAGGCCCCCGCUCUGGCCGCGACCGCAGCGAGGCCGCGCAAGGUAGUGGAGUGAUGUGCGCUAGGCUGGGGUGGGCGACCUCUCAUGUGCUGUAGAGCCAAGCAGAGCGCGCUCUUGUGCGUCUCUCUUCGCUUGUUUCCUCCUUGGCAAGAAUGCGUGAACUUCCGAGUUUUUGUGGGCGUGCGCAGUCUGCUAGGCAUCCAACU
This 2090-nucleotide unclassified non-coding RNA is filed under the name Leishmania donovani. RNAcentral describes it as "gene:LdHU3.30.0460(CDS-product:Sad1_/_UNC-like_C-inal_putative)". The record is from RNAcentral. Lineage: Eukaryota; Euglenozoa; Kinetoplastea; Trypanosomatida; Trypanosomatidae.